Molecule: RNA transcript, 671 nt
Organism: Nannospalax galili (Upper Galilee mountains blind mole rat)
Lineage: Eukaryota; Metazoa; Chordata; Mammalia; Rodentia; Spalacidae
Exons: 4
Source: RefSeq, a predicted model, not a curated record
GAGAUCAGGUGACUCCAGGCUUACAGCGAAGGAGGCGCGGGUGACGUCAAGGGCGCCGCCGCUCCUCCCUCGCUCAGGGCAGGUGCGGCGGUUAUAGUGUAGUCUGGUCCAGGCUCUAGCCGCUCUGUACGCAGCCGCUUCGGGGAGAGGAGAGAUUGUUCCGUUUCCUGGAAACUUAUCCAUCAUCCUGCCUGCAGAAGCAAUGCCAGCAGCUGCCAGGUAGAUUAUAAGGUGCCUUGCCAGGUUCCUCAUGAAUCCGGAGAACCCACCACCAUAUCCAGGCCCGGGCCCAACGGCCCCAUACCCACCUUAUCCACAACAACCAAUGGGGCCAAUGGGGGGACCCUACCCACCUCCUCAGGGGUACCCCUAUCAAGGAUACCCACAGUACGGCUGGCAGGGUGGACCUCAAGAGCCUCCUAAGACCACAGUGUACAUUUUGGAACGGGAAAGGAAGACCAACACAGAUGGCGGGUGUCAGGCAGUCCUGGCCGCAUGCUGGGCCGCACUCUGCUGUUGCUGCCUCCUGGACAGCUUGGACUGAGCAGCCAAGAUCCAAGUUCUCCCUGCAGCCUGCCGCCUCCUGUUACUAGAAUAAACAACUAGUGCUGCACAAGUUCAAUUUUUUUUCUUUCUUUGAAAAAAUAAAUCUAAUCUGCAGACUUUAAAGA